AUAUCCUGCCCAUUGUAGCCUAGUGGAAACUACAGUCUAUAUAAAUAUUUUCUCCAGUAAUAUGUUUGUCAUACUUUUGGUCACAGUGUUGAUGAACUGACUACAUUGCAAAUAGCAUCCAAAAGGCUAUUGGAGACAUGAUUAAAAUAAAAAGAAGAAUUCCAAGCGAAGUGAGGAGACGUAGCCUCACUUUACAUGCCCAGGACAUAUGAUUCUUUUGUGCCCAUCCUAGCUACUUCAGGCAAGUGCAAGGAACAGGAGCUUGUGACACUGGAGAGUGAGUAAUUCUUGUCACUCAACUAGAUGUACCAAUGAUAACCAGGUUACAACCAGCCAAGAGGGAGCAGGAUUUAAAGCAACAAGGGAGAAACAAAACUAUACAAUCGAAUCCAAAAUAAACCGAAACAGACAGUCCUCAACCACAUUGGUGCUGGAUAACAAACUGCCACUGGUGUGCAUUAGUGAUGCUGGGAAAUGGAGAUUCCAUUGACUGGAUAUGCCUGCUCCUGACCUCUUCUGAAAUCCAUCCAAGAUGAACAUUCUUAUAGGCAGAUGUAAAAGGCUCCAAUUUAGUAUCUAUGUUUAAGUACAUAAAGCAAGGUUUUUAGAGCCAUCUUAAGGCAGAUUCCAGAGAAUGCUCUAUCCAUAACCCUCAUAUAAACUUGGUCAAGUGAAUUACCCCUCUGAAUGUCACUUUCUUAUUUCAUGCAAUUAAAAUUAUAAUGUUAUUUUCAAAAG
This 738-nucleotide long non-coding RNA is filed under the name Mus spicilegus (steppe mouse). RNAcentral's name for it is "lncRNA (ENSMSIG00000031365.1)". The record is from RNAcentral. Lineage: Eukaryota; Metazoa; Chordata; Mammalia; Rodentia; Muridae.